RNAcentral lists this ribosomal RNA (679 nucleotides) under Lentisphaeria bacterium. RNAcentral describes it as "bacterial SSU rRNA". It matches the Rfam family "Bacterial small subunit ribosomal RNA", at positions 1 to 695 of the family's 1533-position model. The record is from RNAcentral. Lineage: Bacteria; Pseudomonadati; Lentisphaerota; Lentisphaeria.
CAUGGAGAGUUUGAUCCUGGCUCAGAAUGAACGCUGGCGGCAUGGAUUAGGCAUGCAAGUCGAACGGAAACGAUGGGAGCUUGCUCCCAGGCGUCGAGUGGCGAAAGGGUGAGUAACGCGUGAGUAACUUACCCCAAGGUUGGGGAUAGCCCCGGGAAACUGGGAUUAAUACCGAAUGUGGCGGUCUGCUUUCGGGCGGAUUUGCUAAAAAUUUAUUGCCUUGGGAUUGGCUCGCGUCCGAUUAGCUUGUUGGUGGGGUAACGGCCUACCAAGGCUUCAACCGGUAGGUGGUCUGAGAGGACGAUCACCCACACUGGGACUGAGACACUGCCCAGACUCCUACGGGAGGCUGCAGUCGAGAAUCUUCCGCAAUGCGGGAAACCGUGACGGAGCAAUGCCGCGUGAGGGAUGAAGGCCUUCGGGUCGUAAACCUCUGUCACCCGGGAUGAAUUUUGACAGUACCGGGAGAGGAAGCCACGGCUAACUACGUGCCAGCAGCCGCGGUAAUACGUAGGUGGCUAGCGUUAUUCGGAUUCAUUGGGCGUAAAGGGUCCGCAGGGGGUUUGGUAAGUUUGGUGUGAAAUGCCAGGGCUCAACCUUGGACAUGCAUUGAAAACUGCCAGACUAGAGUGCAGGAGAGGAGAGUGGAAUACCAGGUGUAGCGGUGGAAUGCGUAGAU